Molecule: ribosomal RNA, 253 nt
Filed under: uncultured bacterium
Lineage: Bacteria
Description: partial 16S ribosomal RNA
Rfam family: Bacterial small subunit ribosomal RNA
Source: RNAcentral
UACGGGGGGGGCAAGCGUUGUUCGGAAUUACUGGGCGUAAAGGGCUCGUAGGCGGCCAACUAAGUCAGACGUGAAAUCCCUCGGCUUAACCGGGGAACUGCGUCUGAUACUGGAUGGCUUGAGUGUGGGAGAGGGAUGCGGAAUUCCAGGUGUAGCGGUGAAAUGCGCAGAUAUCGGGAAGAACACCCGUGGCGAAGGCGGCUCUCUGGGACGGUACUGACGCUGAGACGCGAAAGCGUGGGGAGCGAACAGG